RNAcentral lists this ribosomal RNA (308 nucleotides) under uncultured Pseudomonas sp. RNAcentral describes it as "bacterial SSU rRNA". It matches the Rfam family "Bacterial small subunit ribosomal RNA", at positions 33 to 334 of the family's 1533-position model. The record is from RNAcentral. Lineage: Bacteria; Pseudomonadati; Pseudomonadota; Gammaproteobacteria; Pseudomonadales; Pseudomonadaceae.
UUACUACUACGCUGCGGCAGCUAACCAUCAAUGUAGAGCGGAUGAUGGGAGCUCGCUCCUUUAUUCAGCGGCGGACGGGUGAGUAAUGCCUAGGAAUCUGCCUGGUAGUGGGGGACAACGUUUCGAAAGGAACGCUAAUACCGCAUACGUCCUACGGGAGAAAGCAGUGGACCUUCGGGCCUUGCGCUAUCAGAUGAGCCUAGGUCGGAUUAGCUAGUUGGUGGGGUAAUGGCUCACCAAGGCGACGAUCCGUAAACUGGUCUGAGAGGAUGAUCAGGUCACACUGGGAACUUGAGAACACAGUCCAA